CCGUAACUGGUCUGAGAGNAUGAUCAGUCACACUGGAACUGAGACACGGUCCAGACUCCUACUGGAGGCAGCAGUGGGAAUAUUGGACAAUGGGCGAAAGCCUGAUCCAGCCAUGCCGCGUGUGUGAAGAAGGUCUUCGGAUUGUAAAGCACUUUAAGUUGGGAGGAAGGGCAGUUACCUAAUACGUAAUUGUUUUGACGUUACCGACAGAAUAAGCACCGGCUAACUCUGUGCCAGCAGCCGCGGUAAUACAGAGGGUGCAAGCGUUAAUCGGAAUUACUGGGCGUAAAGCGCGCGUAGGUGGUUUGUUAAGUUGAAUGUGAAAUCCCCGGGCUCAACCUGGGAACUGCAUCCAAAACUGGCAAGCUAGAGUAUGGUAGAGGGUGGUGGAAUUUCCUGUGUAGCGGUGAAAUGCGUAGAUAUAGGAAGGAACACCAGUGGCGAAGGCGACCACCUGGACUGA
This 463-nucleotide ribosomal RNA is filed under the name Pseudomonas sp. Z82. RNAcentral describes it as "bacterial SSU rRNA". It matches the Rfam family "Bacterial small subunit ribosomal RNA", at positions 281 to 737 of the family's 1533-position model. Lineage: Bacteria; Pseudomonadati; Pseudomonadota; Gammaproteobacteria; Pseudomonadales; Pseudomonadaceae. The record is from RNAcentral.